This 608-nucleotide ribosomal RNA is filed under the name Uncinaria stenocephala. RNAcentral describes it as "SSU rRNA". It matches the Rfam family "Eukaryotic small subunit ribosomal RNA", at positions 1014 to 1651 of the family's 1831-position model. Lineage: Eukaryota; Metazoa; Nematoda; Chromadorea; Rhabditida; Ancylostomatidae. The record is from RNAcentral.
ACCGCCCUAGUUCUGACCGUAAACUAUGCCAUCUAGCGAUCCGAUGGGGUAUUGUUGCCUUGUCGAGGAGCUUCCCGGAAACGAAAGUCUUUCGGUUCCUGGGGUAGUAUGGUUGCAAAGCUGAAACUUAAAGAAAUUGACGGAAUGGCACCACCAGGAGUGGAGCCUGCGGCUUAAUUUGACUCAACACGGGAAAACUCACCCGGCCCGGACACCGUAAGGAUUGACAGAUUGAAAGCUCUUUCUCGAUUUGGUGGUUGGUGGUGCAUGGCCGUUCUUAGUUGGUGGAGCGAUUUGUCUGGUUUAUUCCGAUAACGAGCGAGACUCUAGCCUGCUAAAUAGUGGCUGGAUUUUCACGUCCAGUCUACUUCUUAGAGGGAUAAGCGGUGUUUAGCCGCACGAGAUUGAGCGAUAACAGGUCUGUGAUGCCCUUAGAUGUCCGGGGCUGCACGCGCGCUACAAUGGAAGAAUCAGCUGGCCUAUCCAUUGCCGAAAGGCAUUGGUAAACCGUUGAAACUCUUCCGUGACCGGGAUAGGGAAUUGUAAUUAUUUCCCUUGAACGAGGAAUUCCUAGUAAGUGUGAGUCAUCAGCUCACGCUGAUUACGUC